CAACUUUCAACAACGGAUCUCUUGGUUCUGGCAUCGAUGAAGAACGCAGCGAAAUGCGAUAAGUAGUGUGAAUUGCAAAAUUCAGUGAAUCAUCGAAUCUUUGAACGCACAUUGCGCCCUUUGGUAUUCCAAAGGGCAUGCCUGUUCGAGCGUCAUUUG
This 159-nucleotide ribosomal RNA is filed under the name Alternaria sp. An. Its description in RNAcentral is "5.8S ribosomal RNA". It matches the Rfam family "5.8S ribosomal RNA". Rfam says of the family: 5.8S ribosomal RNA (5.8S rRNA) is a component of the large subunit of the eukaryotic ribosome. The record is from RNAcentral. Lineage: Eukaryota; Fungi; Ascomycota; Dothideomycetes; Pleosporales; Pleosporaceae.